Molecule: microRNA, 22 nt
Filed under: Apis mellifera (honey bee)
Lineage: Eukaryota; Metazoa; Arthropoda; Insecta; Hymenoptera; Apidae
Description: ame-miR-9866-5p
Source: miRBase by way of RNAcentral
UUCGAGUCGGCGGGGUAUGAGU